UAAGCGGAGGAAAAGAAACCAACAGGGAUUGCCCUAGUAACGGCGAGUGAAGCGGCAACAGCUCAAAUUUGAAAUCUGGCCCUCGGGUCCGAGUUGUAAUUUGUAGAGGAUGCUUUUGGUGCGGUGCCUUCCGAGUUCCCUGGAACGGGACGCCAUAGAGGGUGAGAGCCCCGUCUGGUUGGACGCCAAUCCUCUGUAAAGCUCCUUCGACGAGUCGAGUAGUUUGGGAAUGCUGCUCUAAAUGGGAGGUAUAUGUCUUCUAAAGCUAAAUAUUGGCCAGAGACCGAUAGCGCACAAGUAGAGUGAUCGAAAGAUGAAAAGCACUUUGAAAAGAGAGUUAAAAAGUACGUGAAAUUGUUGAAAGGGAAGCGCUUAUGACCAGACUUGGGCUUGGUAGAUCAACCUGGGUUCUCCCUGGUGCACUCUUCCUCGUCCAGGCCAGCAUCAGUUCGCUGCGGGGGAUAAAGGCUUCGGGAAUGUGGCUCCCUCGGGAGUGUUAUAGCCCGUUGCGUAAUACCCUGCGGUGGACUGAGGUUCGCGUUCUGCAAGGAUGCUGGCGUAAUGGUCAUCAGCGACCCGUCU
Molecule: ribosomal RNA, 582 nt
Filed under: Mariannaea superimposita
Lineage: Eukaryota; Fungi; Ascomycota; Sordariomycetes; Hypocreales; Nectriaceae
Description: eukaryotic LSU rRNA
Rfam family: Eukaryotic large subunit ribosomal RNA
Source: RNAcentral